AUUGAACGCUGGCGGCAGGCCUAACACAUGCAAGUCGAGCGGAGCGGCGAACGGGUGAGUAAUGCCUAGGAAUCUGCCUGGUAGUGGGGGAUACCGUCCGGAAACGGGCGCUAAUACCGCAUUCUAUCAGAUGAGCCUAGGUCGGAUUCGCUAGUUGGUGGGGUAACGGCCUACCAAGGCGACGAUCCGUAACUGGUCUCAGAGGAUGAUCCGUCACACUGGAACUGAGACACGGUCCAGACGCCUACGGGAGGCAGCAGUGGGGAAUAUUGGACAAUGGGCGAAAGCCUGACCCAGCAAUGCCGCGUGAGUGAAGAAGGUCUUCGGAUUGUAAAGCACUUUAAGUUGGGAGGCGUUACCAAAAGAAUAAGCACCGGCUAACUGCGUGCCAGCAGCCGCGGUAAUAC
RNAcentral lists this ribosomal RNA (407 nucleotides) under uncultured bacterium. RNAcentral's name for it is "partial 16S ribosomal RNA". It matches the Rfam family "Bacterial small subunit ribosomal RNA", at positions 30 to 526 of the family's 1533-position model. The record is from RNAcentral.